GUAGUCUCGCACAGAUGCAUAUCAAUAAGCGGAGGAAAAGAAACUAACAAGGAUUCCCUCAGUAACGGCGAGUGAAGCGGGAAGAGCUCAAAUUUGAAAUCUUGAAAGGUCACCUUUCACGAAUUGUAGUUUAAAGAAGUGUUUUCUGUUACGAUCGUAAUAUAAGUUCUUUGGAAUAGGACAUCACAGAGGGUGAGAAUCCCGUCUAUGAUUGCGAUUUGUAGCUUUGUGAUACACUUUCAAAGAGUCGGGUUGUUUGGGAAUGCAGCCCAAAACGGGAGGUAAAUUUCUUCUAAGGCUAAAUAUUGGCGGAGAGACCGAUAGCGAACAAGUACCGUGAGGGAAAGAUGAAAAGAACUUUGAAAAGAGAGUUAAAUAGUACGUGAAAUUGUCAAAAGGGAAGCGUUUAACACCAGUGUUGUUUUCUGAAAAUCAACCUCUGUUAGCUUUAUGCAUGUUUGUUUAGACCUAAUCAGCUAUCUUGCAUGUUCUAUUGUUUGCAGUGGAUGCACUUUUCAGUUUACAGGUCAACAUCAGUUUUUUUUUACCGUAAAAAAGUUAAAGAAAGGUAGCUCAUGGCUCCGGUCGUGAGUGUUAUAGUCUUUUUCCUAUGCGGUAGGAGAGACUGAGGUCUGCAGUGUAGGCUAUUUGGCUAGAUACUCAGGUGCUAUGUGAUACCAUUUCAUAAACAACUUGUUGAUUAUGUUUUGUCUAUUGCAUACUCGCUUGUACUAUCAUACCUACGCUUAGGAUGUUGAGUCGUAGAGCACGCAG
This 774-nucleotide ribosomal RNA is filed under the name uncultured Neocallimastigales. RNAcentral describes it as "partial large subunit ribosomal RNA". It matches the Rfam family "Eukaryotic large subunit ribosomal RNA", at positions 24 to 628 of the family's 3401-position model. Lineage: Eukaryota; Fungi; Neocallimastigomycota; Neocallimastigomycetes; Neocallimastigales. The record is from RNAcentral.